RNAcentral lists this ribosomal RNA (231 nucleotides) under uncultured bacterium. Its description in RNAcentral is "partial 16S ribosomal RNA". It matches the Rfam family "Bacterial small subunit ribosomal RNA", at positions 30 to 268 of the family's 1533-position model. The record is from RNAcentral.
UUGAACGCUGGCGGCAUGCCUUACACAUGCAAGUCGAACGGUAGAGAGGCAACCCUUGAGAGUGGCGAACGGGUGAGUAAUGCAUCGGAACGUGCCCAGUCGUGGGGGAUAACGCAGCGAAAGCUGUGCUAAUACCGCAUGUGAUCUGUGGAUGAAAGCAGGGGACCGCAAGGCCUUGUGCGAUUGGAGCGGCCGAUGUCAGAUUAGCUAGUUGGUAGGGUAAAAGCCUAC